Molecule: ribosomal RNA, 481 nt
Filed under: uncultured microorganism
Description: bacterial SSU rRNA
Rfam family: Bacterial small subunit ribosomal RNA
Source: RNAcentral
GAGUUUGAUCUUGGCUCAGAUUGAACGCUGGCGGCAUGCCUUACACAUGCAAGUCGAACGGCAGCAUGAUCUAGCUUGCUAGAUUGAUGGCGAGUGGCGAACGGGUGAGUAAUACAUCGGAACGUGCCCUGUAGUGGGGGAUAACUAGUCGAAAGAUUAGCUAAUACCGCAUACGACCUGAGGGUGAAAGUGGGGGACCGCAGGGCCUCAUGCUAUAGGAGCGGCCGAUGUCUGAUUAGCUAGUUGGUGGGGUAAAGGCCCACCAAGGCGACGAUCAGUAGCUGGUCUGAGAGGACGAUCAGCCACACUGGGACUGAGACACGGCCCAGACUCCUACGGGAGGCAGCAGUGGGGAAUUUUGGACAAUGGGGCAACCCUGAUCCAGCAAUGCCGCGUGUGUGAAGAAGGCCUUGGUGUAAGCGACUUUGUCCGGUAAGAAGUACGACACUACUAAUAUUAGGUAGUGGAGUGACGGUACCGG